This 147-nucleotide unclassified non-coding RNA is filed under the name uncultured Hyaloscyphaceae. RNAcentral describes it as "sequence contains ITS2". Lineage: Eukaryota; Fungi; Ascomycota; Leotiomycetes; Helotiales. The record is from RNAcentral.
CAACCCUCAAGCUUAGCUUGGUCUUGAGUCCCGCCAGUAACUCGGCAGGCUUUAAAAUUAGUGGCGGCGCCAUUAGGCUCUUAGUGUAGUAAUACUUCUCGCUAUUGAGUCCUUGUGGUAUGCUGGCCAGCAACCCUAACUUUCUAA